Molecule: long non-coding RNA, 567 nt
Organism: Herpailurus yagouaroundi (jaguarundi)
Lineage: Eukaryota; Metazoa; Chordata; Mammalia; Carnivora; Felidae
Exons: 5
Source: RefSeq, a predicted model, not a curated record
GCUUUGUGCAACUCCCUAACAGCUUUGGUGGCCCGUAAGAGGACUGGCCAUUACCUACUGACCGGAAUCCAUCUCAACCAGAUCGCCUUCUCAACUUAUCUCAGAGAGAAAACUGCAGUGCUGCAAAUACAACUGAUUCAGCAUUAUGGUAUCUACCAAGUGCAAGCAAUCCCACUCUACAAGAGCACUACAAGCCUUCCAGAACUCAAACUUGUAAGAUAAGGAAACUGAAGCUCUGUCGUUCAUCUAAAGUUUCACCUAGGACCGGCUAAAGAAGAACUGGAAUGCAGAAUGAGGAGCUUAUGAGGUUCUCACCCUGGCUCCUCCCACCCAUGCUUGGAUUCAAACAAGUGGCCACUCACUAGCAUAUCCAAAUGGAUACCAGAGCCAUUUUCCAGACCUCAGGAGUCCUAUAGCCUUUCACCAGCCAAGCUAUGGUGCUGGUGCUGGUGCUGGAGCCAGAUAAAGAACCAACUGCCCAAGUGAGCCUGGAAAUACACACAUGUCAUCUCUCUGGAGAGCAAAAUUGACACCAUGACUACUGUUCUGGGACUGCCCUUUAAAACC